Molecule: ribosomal RNA, 771 nt
Filed under: uncultured bacterium
Lineage: Bacteria
Description: bacterial SSU rRNA
Rfam family: Bacterial small subunit ribosomal RNA
Source: RNAcentral
AUUGAACGCUGGCGGCAUGCCUUACACAUGCAAGUCGAACGGCAGCACGGGAGCAAUCCUGGUGGCGAGUGGCGAACGGGUGAGUAAUAUAUCGGAACGUGCCCAGUUGUGGGGGAUAGCCCGGCGAAAGCCGGAUUAUACCGCAUACGACCUACGGGUGAAAGCGGGGGAUCGCAAGACCUCGCGCAAUUGGAGCGGCCGAUAUCAGAUUAGCUAGUUGGUGGGGUAAAGGCUCACCAAGGCGACGAUCUGUAGCUGGUCUGAGAGGACGACCAGCCACACUGGGACUGAGACACGGCCCAGACUCCUACGGGAGGCAGCAGUGGGGAAUUUUGGACAAUGGGCGCAAGCCUGAUCCAGCCAUGCCGCGUGUGGGAAAGAAGGCCUCCGGGUUGUAAACCACUUUUGUCAGGGAAGAAACGGUCCUUACUAAUAUAGGGGCUAAUGACGGUACCUGAAGAAUAAGCACCGGCUAACUACGUGCCAGCAGCCGCGGUAAUACGUAGGGUGCAAGCGUUAAUCGGAAUUACUGGGCGUAAAGCGUGCGCAGGCGGCUAUGCAAGACAGAUGUGAAAUCCCCGGGGCUCAACCUGGGAACUGCAUUUGUGACUGCAUGGCUAGAGUACGGUAGAGGGGGAUGGAAUUCCGCGUGUAGCAGUGAAAAUGCGUAGAUAUGCGGAGGAACACCGAUGGCGAAGGCAAUCCCCUGGACCUGUACUGACGCUCAUGCACGAAAAGCGUGGGGGAGCAAAACAGGAUUAGAUACCCUGG